This 66-nucleotide transfer RNA is filed under the name Rattus norvegicus (Norway rat). It matches the Rfam family "tRNA". Rfam says of the family: Transfer RNA (tRNA) molecules are approximately 80 nucleotides in length. Their secondary structure includes four short double-helical elements and three loops (D, anti-codon, and T loops). The record is from Rfam by way of RNAcentral. Lineage: Eukaryota; Metazoa; Chordata; Mammalia; Rodentia; Muridae.
GGGGAUUUAGCUCAGUGGUAGAGCGUUUGCCUAGCAAGCACAAGGCCAAAAAGCACAAGGUCCCCA